Long non-coding RNA from Nicotiana tabacum (common tobacco), 703 nucleotides. RefSeq lists it as uncharacterized. The record is from RefSeq and is a predicted model, not a curated record. Lineage: Eukaryota; Viridiplantae; Streptophyta; Magnoliopsida; Solanales; Solanaceae.
CAAGUGUUUUAUAUAAAUAGGUGGAAAUGUUCAACGGGGGCAACCUGAGAUCAUGUGUACGACAUUUUUUGUUUUUGAUAAUUUUAGUAAUACAUAUGUUCUCAGGUCGCCCCUGUAGAACUAUUUUCCAUCGUACGAUUGGAUAAGAUUCUUGAUCAAGAUUGUUGGUGUCGGCAAUGCUGGAUUUAAAGGAUUGAUCAAGGUUAACCAUUACUAAUAUUUAUUAUACAAAAUUACUUGCAAUUAGAUUUUAAAUUAUGUAAUAGUGUGAAAUUCUACAUGUCUUACAUUAUCCUAAAAGUAGUUUCUUAUUUAUUAUUCCAAAAAAGUUAGAAGAUUUCAAAUGCUCAGAAUUUAUUUUACAAAAACUCUCUGUAGUAGCGAGUAGCGACAGGUAAAAGAUACGCCUUAAGGCGUAUAAAACGUAUUUACUCAAAUUAGAAGUCGCAUUUAUCAAUUGCGAUUUAUACUUCACACUCCAAAAGUUAACAUUUCCGACUCUAUAAACUAACUAGAUGACUUUUUUUUUCUUCUUCUUGUUUUCUUCCUUUUAAUAUUUCUUGGUCUAUUGCUAAUUACACACUUUCUACUUUCUUUAGGGAAAGAAGAAAGAGAAUAGGCUUUUAUGUAAUAACGUAUAAAACCAUAAUUAUAUUUAUUGUUAUUUAUCUUUUGCAUUAUGUGCAUUUUAAUUUUUCUGAAA